RNAcentral lists this small RNA (125 nucleotides) under Marmota monax (woodchuck). The record is from RNAcentral. Lineage: Eukaryota; Metazoa; Chordata; Mammalia; Rodentia; Sciuridae.
GCCGGGCACAGUGGCACAUGCCUGUAAUCCCAGCGGCUGGGGAGGCUGAGUCAGGAGGAUCGUGAGUUCAAAGCCAGCCUCAGCAACGGCCGGACGAUAAGCAACUCAGUGAGACCCUGUCUCUA